Molecule: long non-coding RNA, 1246 nt
Organism: Carya illinoinensis
Lineage: Eukaryota; Viridiplantae; Streptophyta; Magnoliopsida; Fagales; Juglandaceae
Exons: 3
Source: RefSeq, a predicted model, not a curated record
GGUAGAACAGAGAGUCAUUUGAUUUACAAACAAUCAAGCAAAAGAGAUGAUAACCUCUGAACACACCCGUAGAUUUGUUUGGACAUAUAAAAAGAGAUCAUUCAGUUGAGUCGCACCUGUACGAAAUCAAUGAAUCACCAUGCACCGGAAGACAUAAUUAUUGAAGAGGAUCAAAAGAAAAGGUAGUUAUCAGCCUAUCGAUUCCAAUUCUCUUCCCUGAAUUCACUCUGGCUUCCUUUUUUGCCUCUUUUUUGUCAUCUGAUCUGGAAAGAAGGGAGGGAGUUCCUAUUAUUGUAUAAAGAGAUUCGACUCUUCCUCAGAUGGGGUCACGGACAGCUGAGCUAAGGUGCUCGGUUCGGUUUCCAGAUAUUUCUUCGCUGAAUGGGAAUCCGAAUUUUGCUUCCCUUUUGCCUGUUUUUGUAUAUAUUAUUUAUAUUUGGCGUAACAAGUUGAGCUGUGGACAGGGGCCAGUGAAGGUUUUUGGGCUGGAACUCUCUCUCUCUCUCUCUCUCUCUCUCUCUCUCUCUCUCUCUCUCUCUCUCUCUCUCUCUCAUUCAUUUAUUUUGUUUGUUUCCUUGAAUUUGUUAUGGUUUUUGGUUAGGCUGUAAAGCGGAAGGAGAUUGGUGGGAGUGAGAUUGUCAUUUUAUGCAGGUCUGUAAGCUGGGUACAAGCGGCCAGUGUCAGAGCUGAGAGAGAGAGAGAGAGAGAGAGAGGGAGAGGUUCUGUUGGGAGAGAGUUAGAUUUUUCCACAGUAUAAUGUUUGGAUCUGUUGUCUCGGAGUGUGGCAGCAAAAACGGGGAUGUUUGUGCAUGGCCAGACUACAAAAAGACUAGUUCCGCCUGAUCAACUCCAUGUUCUCUUCCAGGGUGGGAAGCAAUAAUGAAGAUAGAUCGGUAUGGGGCUCACUUAAGAAAGGAGUAUAUAUUGUGAAGUGUUCUACAAGGUCAUAUCAUGCUUAGGAAUAACGUGAAAACAAUGGAUCACCACCUUCUGAUCCAAUAUUGCAAGGUUGCUAUUGCUUUAUGGAGCAUGAUAACGAGCUAGGGCUACCAUUGUGUGCCCGGGUUCGGCCACCAAUAGGCCGGCCAAAUCCGACCAUCCCAGCGGCGCCCAAAGCAAGGGCCAUAGGUAAGGUGAUAGCCAAGUCAAGUCUUGUGUUAGGCAGGAAGGUGAAUAUUUUGUCCCUUUUUUUUGUUUUAUUUUUUUUCCAAACGGCAAUUUUAUAUAUUGUAUAUGUUUUCUACUA